RNAcentral lists this ribosomal RNA (209 nucleotides) under uncultured bacterium. RNAcentral's name for it is "partial 16S ribosomal RNA". It matches the Rfam family "Bacterial small subunit ribosomal RNA", at positions 1294 to 1500 of the family's 1533-position model. The record is from RNAcentral.
CGGAUUGUAGGCUGAAACUCGCCUACAUGAAGCUGGAGUUGCUAGUAAUCGCGAAUCAGCAUGUCGCGGUGAAUACGUUCCCGGGCCUUGUACACACCGCCCGUCACACCAUGAGAGUUGGCAAUACCCAACGUACGUGAUCUAACCCGCAAGGGAGGAAGCGUCCUAAGGUAGGGUCAGCGAUUGGGGUGAAGUCGUAACAAGGUAGC